Molecule: ribosomal RNA, 582 nt
Filed under: uncultured bacterium
Lineage: Bacteria
Description: bacterial SSU rRNA
Rfam family: Bacterial small subunit ribosomal RNA
Source: RNAcentral
AAGGGAGAGGAAUAAGUAGAAAUCUACCCUCGGAUCGGGGAUAGCGGCGGGAAACUGCCGGUAAUACCCGAUAACGUCUUUGGACCAAAGGUGUGAUUCCGUCUGAGGAUGAGUCUACUUCCUAUUAGCUAGUUGGCGGGGUAAUGGCCCACCAAGGCAACGAUGGGUAGCAGGUGUGAGAGCAUGACCUGCCUCAUUGGGACUGAGACACUGCCCAGACACCUACGGGUGGCUGCAGUCGAGAAUCUUCGGCAAUGGACGAAAGUCUGACCGAGCGACGCCGCGUGCGGGAUGAAGGCCUUCGGGUUGUAAACCGCUGUCGGAGGGGAACAAAUGUACGGGGGUACUCCCCUGUAUUUGAGUGAACCUAGGAGGAAGGAGAGGCUAAGCUCGUGCCAGCAGCCGCGGUAAGACGAGCUCUCCGAACGUUAUUCGGUAUCACUGGGCUUAAAGAGUUCGUAGGCGGUCUGGUAGGUGAGGUGUGAAAUCCCCCGGCUCAACCGGGGAACUGCGCUUCAAACCGCCGGACUUGAGGGAGACAGAGGUGGGCGGAACAGAUGGUGGAGCGGUGAAAUGCGUUGA